GUUAAUAAUUGUUCUAGGGUCUGUUUAGUAUCCUGUCAGGGUCUGAUUGAUGGGCACUAUAGGUCAGGAUGUUUUUUGUAGCAAGUUGACCAGGGUUGACUUUGUUUUGUUGGGUUCAAGCAAUCUGCUUUGCGGGCAGGUGUUGGGGAUGAUUCGUAGUCUGUUGCUAUUGUUCUGAGUUUCUUUAGUAUUCAGUUUUGAGCUCCAUUUUAAUGGGAAUUUGUUGGUGUAGCCUGCCUCUUUUCUUUGACAAUUAUGAUCAACCUUGGUAGAGUACCUUGGUAGAGUUGACUGUUAGUUUUGUGCCUUGUCAAUAUAUUACUUACUCUGCCUAUAUGCAACAACCUAGCGUUGGUGACCAAGAAAUUCCUGAUGUUAGUUAAAGAUUAAGGUACACAAAUUCUAACUAUGCCCUUUAUUUUUGCCAUUUAUUUUCAAUUCUGUUUUUGAUAGUUCUAAAAGCCAAUUCUGAUGGAAGAAGGGGAAUACCAAUAAUCAUUUUAAAGUGUAGUUGUUCUAAAAUAAUUAUAAACUCUCAUAAAUGAUAUUAAUUUUUAUUUACUUAAUUGUAUGCACUCUGUUCUUUGAUAGACCAUGUAUAGUGUAAAUUACUAGGAACUUACAGGAUAGAGAAAAAAGAAGAGAAGUAUAUAUUAGCCAAGAUCACCAGUUCAUGACUUCAUGUCCAUGUAGAUGAAUCAUAUAUAGUUCAUGUCCAUGUAGAUGAAUCAUAUAUAGUUCAUGUCCAUGCUAAAUUUUGUUUUAAACCGCUUAAUCAGUUAUCUUCGUGAAUAAAAAUCUCCUUGCUUGGGUUUCUGAAGUUCUAAACCCUCAUAUAUUAUACGGAGUAGUUGGUGUUCAAUGUUUCAUCUCAUUGCUUCAGUCCUUAGCUGGGUAAUUAAAUUUAAGUUCUUGUUAGUAUGAAAUAUUGGUACGCCAUCCUAGCUUUAAUUAUCUUCCAAGAUAAAAAUCUCCUUCCAGAAUUAGUAUGACACAUGUUCCGGGAUUCCAAGUGUAACUGGACGCAAUGAAUGAAGAAGUAAUUCAUGACUAAUGGGGCAUUAUUCAGCAUAAUAGUUCAAGGCUUAACAUGGAGAUUGGUUGUAUCUUCCAUCUAAUUGUAGCUUGUAAUACUUUUGGCAUACUCUAAUAUUAGCUUGUGAAUGUGUAGUGAGCACAAUAUAUCCCUUUGUAGGUAAUGUACUGUAAUCGACUUAUUUUUGUUAAAUGAAAAUUAGUGUUUGAGGUUAUUA
Spinacia oleracea (spinach) is the source of this 1253-nucleotide long non-coding RNA. RefSeq lists it as uncharacterized. NCBI's taxonomy places the organism in Eukaryota, Viridiplantae, Streptophyta, Magnoliopsida, Caryophyllales, Amaranthaceae. The record is from RefSeq and is a predicted model, not a curated record. The transcript has 2 exons.